UGGUCCUAUAGCAGCCAGGAUGCCAGACAGGCUGAGUCGUAGGCUACAUGAUUAAGAGGCCAUGCGCUGUGAGCGUGAAGCAGACCAACUGGCCUCAUAAAAAACAUGGGAACAGAGAGGCCUCAGAUUUACCAUCAACACAGCCAAGUCACAGGCUGCAUGGUAAUAAUGCAGCCCUUAUUCGAGCUGACCCUAAUGCUGCACACUCCAACAGUGGAGGCUGAGCCCUGAAAUCCCAAGCAUUCAGGCCAGCAGCCCCAGAGGACCUGAGCCCUAGGACCAUGCCUCAGGACUACCUGGCCUGAUGACUCCUUGUUUCCCCAGUCCACCUGGCCGUGCUGCUGCUCCAGUUUCAACUGUUCUGCCUGCGGCUAUGGAACCCUGACCUGUUCACCGGACGUGCUACCUGUCCCAGACCUGCUGUUUUCAACUCUCUAGAGACAGCAGGAGCGGUAGAGAUACUCUGAAUGAUCGGCUAUGAAAAGCCAACUGACAUUUACUCCUGAGAGUCAUGGCUGAACGACGACAAUAUCAACAUUCAGCUGGCUGGUUAUACGAUGUACCGGCAGGAUAGAACAGUGGCGUCUGGAUGUGGCGAGUCAUCCCGGGGUCAUUGUAUGGCUUCCAAGUCUAAGAUAAAUGGGGAUUUAUUAUUGUUAUGUUUGGCUAUAUGCAUCUGAGUUGAGGCCUGAGGGGUAGGAGAAAGACUGAAGUUGUUUCUCGGGUUUGGUUUUAUGGGUACCUGAAUGAAAUACAGUGAGAAAUGGGUCGUGUUCAUUACAGCACAACUAUAGCAAAAUGUUUCAAAAUGUCCCUCCCUGUAUCAGUAUGUUUUCUUCCGUUUGGUGCUUAAUGAAUACAACCCUGGUGAUACUGCUCGGGUGCCACUAUAAACCACCAUGUCCUUUUGAACUUUGCCAUACAACAUUUCCUGAAGGGGAGUGAAGAAUCCCAGCUCACAUAUUGGCUGUAUAAUAACUGACUUGUUAGACUCUAGCUCCGCUUCAGUGCAUUGGCCCCAAUGUUGUCAUUACACACUCUUUAUGCUGGUAAUGUACAGUAGUUGCCCAUAACCACAGAUUCUCC
This 1086-nucleotide long non-coding RNA is filed under the name Salmo salar (Atlantic salmon). RNAcentral describes it as "lncRNA (ENSSSAG00000092715.1, ENSSSAG00000096013.1)". Lineage: Eukaryota; Metazoa; Chordata; Actinopteri; Salmoniformes; Salmonidae. The record is from RNAcentral.